ACUUUUGGGCCCUCCACUACAGAAAGGAUGUGGACAAAUUGGAGAGAGUCUACCAGAGGGCAACAAAAAUAGGGCUGGAGCACAUAAUUUCUGAGAGGCUGAGGGAACUGGGCUUAUUUAGUCUGGAGAAGAGAAGACUGACGGGGGAUUUAAUAGCAGCCUUCAACUACCUGAAGGGAGGUUACAAAGAGGAUGGAGCUUGACUGUUUUCAGUGGUGACAAAUGACAGAACAAGGAGCAACGGUCUCAAGUUGCAGCAAGGGAAAUUUAGGUGGCUGCUACUAUGAAAGAAAGGACUGCUGGCCAAGAUGGAAGCUUGCAAGGAGGGAUGAUCUUGGAAAAGACUCAUUACAUCAAGUUUACCAUGCUAAUGCUAACAUGAUGCUGAUCAUGUUAAGUUUACCUUAACAAUGAAUACUUCAGCCUUCCACAUGUCACCUCCGGCUGUUUUUCUCACUUUAGUGCUAUCAACAUGAUACACGUGUUAUACCUUUAAGAAAAAGAUAAGUGUGACAAUGGAUAGUAGCCUAGCUGCAUACUAGGGGAGGAGGGAGGAUAUCAUGUAUGCAGAUUUAUGCUGUUAGCCCAUAGCUCUGUAUUUCUGGCUACAUUUUGGAUCUGCAGCCUUUCUACUAAGUUCAACUGCUCAAGUACUAGUGAAAACAGUAAGAAUCAGAGGUAGCAAAUUUAUACAAUUUCUGGAGUUUUCCAUCUAAGCUCAGUGAAUUGCUAUAGCAGUAACAAAGCUGUUUUCAUUCCAAUCUCUUCUUUCUUCCACAUACAGAAACAUUCACCUUUGGGACUGAAGUGUCAUAUAAAUGGACUCAGCCAGAGGUGAGCUCCCCGUACUCCUUUCAGGCAGAAAGGACUUAGUGCAAGCAGAAUGAGUUACGUAACAAGCUGAAGAGUUCUCCCCUUCCAUCUCCCUCUUUAAAAAAAAACCAACCAUAAAAAAACUGAUGUUUUCUCAGAAUCUGUCAAAUGACUAAAGUUUAUAAUUUCAAAGUUAAUGCUAUUUAGUCUCAGCAAGAAGUCUGUAUUUCAAGUUAUAUAAAGCACAAAUGCUUUUAAAACUGUGUGGUUGCAUGUGCAGGACUGUGCAUUAAUAAGAGAAAAUUCUGUUAUGCCAUUCA
Alligator mississippiensis (American alligator) is the source of this 1133-nucleotide long non-coding RNA. RefSeq lists it as uncharacterized. Lineage: Eukaryota; Metazoa; Chordata; Crocodylia; Alligatoridae. The transcript is spliced from 2 exons. The record is from RefSeq and is a predicted model, not a curated record.